This 872-nucleotide long non-coding RNA is filed under the name Elaeis guineensis (African oil palm). Its description in RNAcentral is "long non-coding RNA (EGUI_LNC025232)". The record is from RNAcentral. Lineage: Eukaryota; Viridiplantae; Streptophyta; Magnoliopsida; Arecales; Arecaceae.
AUUUUUUUUUUUUUGAAAAUUCAUGAAUUAUUCAUGUUCAGCAUCGCUGACAAAUUAUUAUGUGAAGAACUUGUCCAUUCAUGAACAUUUCAUAUAUACAUUGUUAAAUUCAUCAAAUGCAUGUGUAGUUCAUGUAGUAUUAAAUAGUUCAUGCAUUCUGGAGUGGAAAAAUGGUCCACAGCCAUGCUUCAAACUUCGAAAUGCUAAGGCAGGCCAUGGGCAUAAAGGACCAAAAUGGUAGCAUUGCAGUGUCAGGACUUGGGAUUCGAGGAUUCAUUUGAUAUUAGAAUUUUGUUUUUAUCAAAAAGUAAAUACAAAAUCAAACCUUUCGCAUUGUCCCUUAUCUUCGAGCCCUCUUCUGCUUCAAACUUCUUCUAGUUGUUUGCUUCUUCUCAUCCUUUCAUUUCCCUCCUACUAUUCUCUCACUCUCUAAAACAUACUUCCCCCCUCAAUUUUUCUUCCUCUUUAGUUCCCCUCUCUCUUCCAAACUUCUUGCAUUUUUUUUUUCAAAUUUAACAGAUUUUUUCCAAACACAAUUUAUUAACCUUGUCAAGUUAUUCCUGAAUGCAAAACUUGUGACUAUGCUAGAGAUGGUUUAAUUCUUUUCAAUGUGAUUACAAAUGGAGCAGGUAUGGGUUGAGGGUCUUUUGACCUACCUCAAUUUGACCGUUCUAUCGCAUCAUAGAAUUCACUCACCACCUACCCCUACCCCCUUGUAUCCUUUCUUCAUAUUCCUCCCUCUAUUUGUGGGCACUCUCAUCUUUAAUACAUACAACCCUUCAAGCAGAGAAAUAAAGAAGUGCUAGGAGUGAAAGGGUGGACAUGUUUACAUACAUAGUAGGAAAUGAUUUGUGAACAACCAGGAGAUCACA